CCUUCUCAAACACAUUGUGGUUGGUAGUGAGUGAUACCCCGUUUUGAGCUAACUUGAAAUUGUAGGCCAUAUCAGUAUGUGGGACACGAGCGCAAGCUUCUCUAUUAAUCUGCUGCUCGUUUGCGCGAGCGGCGGGGGUUAAUACUGUAUUAGGUUUUACCAACUCGGUGUUGAUCUAGGGAGGGAUAAGUGAGUGUUUUGUGCGUGCUGGGCAGACAGACGUCUUUAAG
This 230-nucleotide unclassified non-coding RNA is filed under the name Nakaseomyces glabratus. RNAcentral describes it as "[Candida] glabrata ITS2". Lineage: Eukaryota; Fungi; Ascomycota; Saccharomycetes; Saccharomycetales; Saccharomycetaceae. The record is from RNAcentral.